This 88-nucleotide transfer RNA is filed under the name Eubacteriales bacterium. Its description in RNAcentral is "tRNA-Ser". It matches the Rfam family "tRNA". Rfam says of the family: Transfer RNA (tRNA) molecules are approximately 80 nucleotides in length. Their secondary structure includes four short double-helical elements and three loops (D, anti-codon, and T loops). Further hydrogen bonds mediate the characteristic L-shaped molecular structure. tRNAs have two regions of fundamental functional importance: the anti-codon, which is responsible for specific mRNA codon recognition, and the 3' end, to which the tRNAs corresponding amino acid is attached (by aminoacyl-tRNA synthetases). tRNAs cope with the degeneracy of the genetic code in two manners: having more than one tRNA (with a specific anti-codon) for a particular amino acid; and 'wobble' base-pairing, i.e. permitting non-standard base-pairing at the 3rd anti-codon position. The record is from RNAcentral. Lineage: Bacteria; Bacillati; Bacillota; Clostridia; Eubacteriales.
GGAAACGUACCGAAGUGGUCGUAACGGGAACGACUCGAAAUCGUUUUGUCUCUUGCGAGGCACGUGGGUUCGAAUCCCACCGUUUCCG